Jatropha curcas is the source of this 2328-nucleotide non-coding RNA. NCBI's taxonomy places the organism in Eukaryota, Viridiplantae, Streptophyta, Magnoliopsida, Malpighiales, Euphorbiaceae. The record is from RefSeq and is a predicted model, not a curated record.
UUCAAUCUAACUUUUGAUUUGGGAUGAAAUUGCAGUUUUUGACAUGAAAUAUUGCGAAUCAAAUUGGACCGCUUAAGAACUUAUCCGACUUUACUUGGCCAAAUUCAGAGCGUUGCACGGCUGAGGACCUUUCAAAUCGGUCAUAAAACUCCGGAGUGCUGCAGCUGGUGCAUCAUGCAUGUUCUAGAGACUUUCUAGUUGUAAUGAAGGCUGUCGCUGCUCUCCGCCGCUACUCAAAAGGAGAGUUGUUAUUGACAAUGAUUCUAACAGUGACUCCACAAUUAUCCAGGUACACCUUGAAUGUUCAAUGUAUGAAACUUGGGUACUAGAUGUUUUCUAGUUAUUUUUUGCCUACUUUUGUCGUAUGCAUAUGCUGCUUGAACAAGAAAGUUUAAAUUCGGUAAAUUUCAUGUUCAGAAGGAUGUGGUCAGCAGACAAGUUAGUCCCCUUGAAAAUGGUCCAAUGAUUAUGUUCUAUGCAGAGUACAUGUCAAAACAUAAAUCAAAAUUGAAGAAAGAUCAAGCAAGAAGUUACUUGAAGUGGUUCCCAAAAUUUCCAAGAAACCUAUGUCAUGGUUGCAUGGCAACUUGACAUCUUGUUCGAGUAACAUGAUGACAAAUAUACAAUAAAAAAAUUUAAAAAAACAAGGGAAAUGUAGGCUUAAAAAAUUAUAUAAGUAAACUUUUGAGAUAUUUGGAUUGACAGUCAGAUUUUUUUCAAAUUGCAAUUUAAUUUUCAUAAUUUUUUUGGUUAGAUGCAUAUUGGUGUAGAUAGAUUUAUUAUUCUUUAUAAUUUCAAUGCAAUGGGGAAAUUGUUUGCAAUAAAACUGUGUAUGAUCGAGAAAUUAAAAGAGAUCAUAUUACUUGUUUUUGAAGAAUUGUGGGCUUAAAUGAAAAUCUUUAAAGAAAAAUUAAUGUGAGAAAAGAAUUAAGAAUCUGUAAGACUCACGUAUCUUGAGUUUGAAGAUUUUUAAAAGAAGAUGUAAAAAUUCAAGGCUUUUUUUUUUUUAAAUAAUAUUAUCUAGUUAAAUGAAGAGAAUUUCAUUAAAAACAUAUAUUUUUUUAAACAAACUAGACAUGGUAGAUCUCAUAAACUUUUUCUGAAUUUAUUUUUAUUAAUUUAGGCACAUUAAAUAUAAUAUAUAAUUACUCGAAUUAAAAUUAAAAAUGAACAAAACUAGAUAAGGCAGAGUUUGAAUUUUUAUGUUAUUUGGAUAAAAUAAAUUGGUAUGAAUAAUGCAUAAAGUAUUCAGUCUAAAUGUUCGUAGUUGAAUCUUCUAAGGAUUUGUUGUUUGGCUGUGACAGAAUUUUGUUCUUCCUUAUUGCACCCCUUUUCUUCCUCAGAAUUUUGUUCCUGAACUUCUGUUGAUUAUUCAAUGCAUAAUCUGAGGGUUCUCUCUGAUGCUUACUUCUAAAAUCCAUAGAAAAUUUUCAUAAUAGGGGAGGUUUCUGCUCAUGCAAAUCUGUCCCUUAACAUGCUAAUAUUUCUAGUGCCUUUCCUUAUGUUGGAGUGGUUUGCCAAAGUGUUGUCUAAUAUUAGUCAUAUCAUUCCACAAGUUGAUGUUGCUUGUCUUCAUGUAAGUUAAUGAUUGAAUCUCUUCGGCCAAGGGGGAAGCCAUAAAAAAUAAGAAAAAUUCUUGCACCGGCUGGAUUCAUGUGGAUCUCUCUUACAUGUAAUGGAAUCCCAUAAUAGAUGAUAUCUUCUCACACGAGAUAACUCCCAUUUAUUUGGUGACAGCUACUCCAAAUUGAAACCAGUCCUUGUGGACUUAGUCUAGAUAAAAACUAUUCAAAAAAUAAGUUGAAACUCAGAAGUUAUAUAUAUAAAUGUAUAACUAUAAGCUAUAGGCUAUGUGUUUGCGUACACAUGCAGGCUUUGAUUUGAAUUUGAAUUUGUUUCUGAGUUUUGUGGUAGGUCCAGCAUGUUGUAGGAAUAUCUUUAUUGGAUGCAUGUGUCUGACAAAAGGGGUCAUACUCUGGUAAUGUUCUGUUACUGUUUUAUUUAAUUGUAGUUAGCUAUAAUAUAUAAAUCUUUAGUUCUCGGAUUGGCAAUGCAAUAUACAGGAAAAAGAGAUCGCAUUUUGAUGGUCCAAGUUCGCUAAUUUCACACUUUGUGUUAGUAUUUUAGACUAAUAACAGAAGAAAUGUACACCUCUUGGUAUGGAGUAUAUGAAUUCAGAUUAAUAUAUUCAUGCUGUACAUAAAGGAAACUUGAGCCUUUUUGUUUUUCCCUUCCCAAAGACGGCUUUUGCUUUAUUUUUCCUUGAAUUUUAAUUACGUGAUUCACGCAUAUGUACUAUAGGCAAAUAAUCACAUGUAUGUUGACUCC